GCUGGCGGCGUGCCUAAUACAUGCAAGUCGAACGAGUUCUGAUUAUUGAAAGGUGCUUGCAUCUUGAUUUAAUUUUGAACGAGUGGCGGACGGGUGAGUAACACGUGGGUAACCUGCCCUUAAGUGGGGGAUAACAUUUGGAAACAGAUGCUAAUACCGCAUAAAUCCAAGAACCGCAUGGUUCUUGGCUGAAAGAUGGCGUAAGCUAUCGCUUUUGGAUGGACCCGCGGCGUAUUAGCUAGUUGGUGAGGUAACGGCUCACCAAGGCAAUGAUACGUAGCCGAACUGAGAGGUUGAUCGGCCACAUUGGGACUGAGACACGGCCCAAACUCCUACGGGAGGCAGCAGUAGGGAAUCUUCCACAAUGGACGCAAGUCUGAUGGAGCAACGCCGCGUGAGUGAAGAAGGCUUUCGGGUCGUAAAACUCUGUUGUUGGAGAAGAAUGGUCGGCAGAGUAACUGUUGUCGGCGUGACGGUAUCCAACCAGAAAGCCACGGCUAACUACGUGCCAGCAGCCGCGGUAAUACGUAGGUGGCAAGCGUUAUCCGGAUUUAUUGGGCGUAAAGCGAGCGCAGGCGGUUUUUUAAGUCUGAUGUGAAAGCCCUCGGCUUAACCGAGGAAGUGCAUCGGAAACUGGGAAACUUGAGUGCAGAAGAGGACAGUGGAACUCCAUGUGUAGCGGUGAAAUGCGUAGAUAUAUGGAAGAACACCAGUGGCGAAGGCGGCUGUCUGGUCUGUAACUGACGCUGAGGCUCGAAAGCAUGGGUAGCGAACAGGAUUAGAUACCCUGGUAGUCCAUGCCGUAAACGAUGAAUGCUAGGUGUUGGAGGGUUUCCGCCCUUCAGUGCCGCAGCUAACGCAUUAAGCAUUCCGCCUGGGGAGUACGACCGCAAGGUUGAAACUCAAAGGAAUUGACGGGGGCCCGCACAAGCGGUGGAGCAUGUGGUUUAAUUCGAAGCAACGCGAAGAACCUUACCAGGUCUUGACAUCUUUUGAUCACCUGAGAGAUCAGGUUUCCCCUUCGGGGGCAAAAUGACAGGUGGUGCAUGGUUGUCGUCAGCUCGUGUCGUGAGAUGUUGGGUUAAGUCCCGCAACGAGCGCAACCCUUAUGACUAGUUGCCAGCAUUUAGUUGGGCACUCUAGUAAGACUGCCGGUGACAAACCGGAGGAAGGUGGGGAUGACGUCAAAUCAUCAUGCCCCUUAUGACCUGGGCUACACACGUGCUACAAUGGAUGGUACAACGAGUUGCGAGACCGCGAGGUCAAGCUAAUCUCUUAAAGCCAUUCUCAGUUCGGACUGUAGGCUGCAACUCGCCUACACGAAGUCGGAAUCGCUAGUAAUCGCGGAUCAGCACGCCGCGGUGAAUACGUUCCCGGGCCUUGUACACACCGCCCGUCACACCAUGAGAGUUUGUAACACCCGAAGCCGGUGGCGUAACCCUUUUAGGGAGCGAGCCGUCUAAGGUGGGACAAAUGAUUAGGGUGAAG
This 1488-nucleotide ribosomal RNA is filed under the name Lacticaseibacillus rhamnosus. Its description in RNAcentral is "bacterial SSU rRNA". It matches the Rfam family "Bacterial small subunit ribosomal RNA". The record is from RNAcentral. Lineage: Bacteria; Bacillati; Bacillota; Bacilli; Lactobacillales; Lactobacillaceae.